Molecule: long non-coding RNA, 620 nt
Organism: Bos taurus (domestic cattle)
Lineage: Eukaryota; Metazoa; Chordata; Mammalia; Artiodactyla; Bovidae
Source: Ensembl
AUCCCCUGGAGGAGGAAAUGGCAACCCACUCCCAUCUUCUUGCCUGGGAAAUCCUGUGGACAGGGCAGCCUGGCAGGCUACAGUCCGUGGGGUAGCAAAGAGUCGGACAUGACUGAGCACAACAUACUGUCUAUGCAUGCUACACCUUACACUGUUGAUCGGUUCCUUCCUGAAAUCGCAACUCUUUCAUGAAGUAGCAAGAGAAGAUAGAAAAUGCACUUGGCUGAAGAAGGACCCUAAGCUGAAUGGAAGCAGAGAAAUGAUACACACAACAGCUUCAUGCUGGCUACUGACUGGGGUCAAACAUGAUGGUGAGUCUAUCAUGCCUGGAGUCUUCACUGGCUGGAUAUGGAAAAUCUCAGAACUUGAAACUCACCUCAAUGUCUAAGGCCUGUCCAGAGGAAUUGUUGCAGAUCUGUAAAUAUGAAAACUUGGGCUUUGUCACUUUUUCAGUGAUCUGUUCCCUCUCCCAGCCCCAUACGCUCUCGCAACCAUGUAAAAUUCUAGCAUCUGUCCAUUCAAGUGCCAUUUUCUUCAUGUAAUUUUCUCUGGACUCCAAAUAAGAGUUAGCUGUCCAGAAGAGCUCUAUACAUCCUCAGGUUCACUGCAAUCUUAUUUAC